Molecule: long non-coding RNA, 202 nt
Organism: Mobula hypostoma (lesser devil ray)
Lineage: Eukaryota; Metazoa; Chordata; Chondrichthyes; Myliobatiformes; Myliobatidae
Exons: 3
Source: RefSeq, a predicted model, not a curated record
UGGAAAUAUCGCUCCAACAAGUCAGCCAGAUGAACAAGGUGCUCUUUCCCAGGUUCUGUCUGUAGGAGGUCAGAUGAGUGGGUCAAGGCAGAAGAGAUCACAGGGACCGAGAUGACCAAAGUAACCUGUGGGUGGGUAAUUUAUCUGCUCCAGUCUUUCAUCAACGAACUUUGAAAUGGCCUCUUGAAAUUCUGGAUGUCUG